CGAACGGGUGAGUAAUGCGUGACCAACCUGCCCCAUGCUCCAGAAUAGCUCUUGGAAACGGGUGGUAAUGCUGGAUGCUCCAACUUGACGCAUGUCUUGUUGGGAAAGUGUUUAGUGGCAUGGGAUGGGGUCGCGUCCUAUCAGCUUGUAGGCGGGGUAAUGGCCCACCUAGGCUUCGACGGGUAGCCGGCCUGAGAGGGCGGACGGCCACAUUGGGCUGAGAUACGGCCCAGACUCCUACGGGAGGCAGCAGCU
RNAcentral lists this ribosomal RNA (255 nucleotides) under uncultured Gardnerella sp. RNAcentral's name for it is "partial 16S ribosomal RNA". It matches the Rfam family "Bacterial small subunit ribosomal RNA", at positions 99 to 355 of the family's 1533-position model. Lineage: Bacteria; Bacillati; Actinomycetota; Actinomycetes; Bifidobacteriales; Bifidobacteriaceae. The record is from RNAcentral.